UACGGAGGGUGCGAGCGUUGUCCGGAUUUAUUGGGUUUAAAGGGUGCGUAGGCGGCCGUUUAAGUCUGGGGUGAAAGCCCGCUGCUCAACAGCGGAACUGCCCUGGAUACUGGAUGGCUUGAGUACAGACGAGGUUGGCGGAAUGGACCGAGUAGCGGUGAAAUGCAUAGAUACGGUCCAGAACCCCGAUUGCGAAGGCAGCUGACUAGGCUGUUACUGACGCUGAGGCACGAAAGCGUGGGGAGCGAACAGG
Molecule: ribosomal RNA, 253 nt
Filed under: uncultured bacterium
Lineage: Bacteria
Description: partial 16S ribosomal RNA
Rfam family: Bacterial small subunit ribosomal RNA
Source: RNAcentral